UACGUAGGGUGCGAGCGUUGUCCGGAAUUAUUGGGCGUAAAGAGCUCGUAGGCGGUCUGUCGCGUCGAUCGUGAAAACUUGGGGCUUAACCCUGAGCUUGCGGUCGAUACGGGCAUGACUGGAGUUCGGCAGGGGAGACUGGAAUUCCUGGUGUAGCGGUGGAAUGCGCAGAUAUCAGGAGGAACACCAAUAGCGAAGGCAGCUCGCUGGGACGGUACUGACGCUGAGGCGCGAAAGCGUGGGGAGCGAACAGG
This 254-nucleotide ribosomal RNA is filed under the name uncultured bacterium. RNAcentral describes it as "partial 16S ribosomal RNA". It matches the Rfam family "Bacterial small subunit ribosomal RNA", at positions 524 to 776 of the family's 1533-position model. The record is from RNAcentral.